Molecule: long non-coding RNA, 757 nt
Filed under: Oryzias javanicus (javanese ricefish)
Lineage: Eukaryota; Metazoa; Chordata; Actinopteri; Beloniformes; Adrianichthyidae
Description: lncRNA (ENSOJAG00000013111.1)
Source: RNAcentral
GUUAAAUGUGUCCUUUAAAUGAAAUGAAAUGAAAUGAAAUGAAAUGAAAUGAAAUGAAAUUAAUUUAAUUUAUUUUAUUUUUUUAAGUAAUUAUUUAAUCUGACAGGUUUAACACGGGCGCGCGCGCGCGCUCAGAUAGCGGAAGAUGACCGCCUUUAAGAUGACCGCUCCGGAAACAACCGAACGUGGCCGAAAAGUCCCGAGGGAGGAAGCGUGAAAGUGAGCGUCUGCAGCUCUGAGAGCAGCGCUUCUUGACGGAGGAGCCUUCACCCGCAGUGCUCCCGGGAGCUCCGCUUCUCCAGGACUCCUGGAUUCAUCUCCGUUCUUCCGGUGGACGCCUUCAGAGGGUCACAGGUGUUACACGGAGGUCUGGAAAUUCAGGAACUCUCUGUGCUUGUCAGGGUAAAGAUAAGUUUAACCAUUUAUAAUGUAACAACUUGGAAUAUAUUUGAAGAUUUGGUCUGAAUCACAUUUACUCUUCAAAUCAAUCGUCUGUGCUCUACUCCUCACUGAAUGCCUGAUUUUAUCUCUUCUCCCUGUCAUCCUGUACCAUAAAUUAUUAUAAUUUAUCACAUUUGAUUGGACAGAUGAAUCUGAAUUAAUUGCUCCACUCACUUUCACAAGGAGCCAUAAAUUAUUUAUUUAUUAAUUAAUUAUUCACUUAUUUAUAAUUUCUCCUGGUAUUUUCUGUUUUCUUUACAUAUGGUUAUUGUGUUUUUGUUCUCUUUGUACAUUUUUUAAUAAUACUGACCUGAGA